Long non-coding RNA from Anser brachyrhynchus (Pink-footed goose), 1755 nucleotides. The record is from Ensembl. NCBI's taxonomy places the organism in Eukaryota, Metazoa, Chordata, Aves, Anseriformes, Anatidae.
AUGCCCCUGCCGCGCCCAGGACACGUGCACGCGUGCGCUGAGAGCAUGUCCUUCCUCCUAAUAAACCACUGUGAGAACCCGUGUCUGGUGGGUGCUGCUGGCCUGGCUGGACAGGGAUGCGGGGCCGGGGGCUCCGUGCAGCUCUGCCCGGGGGGCUCCUGGCUGGCAGAGGCUGCUGGCGGCGUGAUGGGGGCCUGGGGUGCUGCCCGCUGGAGUGCUGCGUCCCCGCAGCAGGUGGGGGUGUGGGAUGGCCACGCCGUGGGGCCGGGACAGUGGUGUCCCCUGCUCGGGGCCUUGGGCAGCUGGGCCCCCAGCCCGUGCCCUGCCCGCUGCCCUCCUGCCGGCCUCCCUGCCUUCUUUGCCGCGGAGCAUCCCCAUCCCCAAACCCCACAGCUGUGGCUGGGUGCUGGCGAGGAAGGGAAGGUGGCAGCCACAUCUCUGCUCGGCGGUACCCCGUGCCCCCGGCUCCCCCCCGGCCCACCAGCCACCAAGAUCCGGGCUGGCGCGGGGGCCCCUUCCUGUCCUGUUUCCCUCCUGCCUGCCCUGGGCCAGCUGCGCUCCUGCGGGCUCUGCCUCCACUUCCCCUGGCAGGGAAACGGUGACUCUGCUUGGAAGGAAUUUUCCUGCUGUCUCCCCUCUCUGCGACUUAACCCUUCCCCAGCUGGCCAGCGUACGCCCCAGCAGCUCGCGAGGUCACCGAGCUGGGCAGCUGUUUCUUCACUGCUGCCAGCCCUCCUCCUCCUCCUUCUCCUCCCAGCAGCUGCUGCAGCCACGAGCGGUGCGGCGGGACGUGUCGGGGUGGGACGUGUUGCGGGCUGGGACAGGGCAGCGAGGGGCUCAGCGUGGUGCCGCCGUGCUCCAGGCAGCCCGGGCAGGGGGGGAAGGGGGCGAUGGGCAGGCAGCCCCGGCUGCACUGGGCCGUGCCCGCGCCCCAGCCCGGUGCCGUGGUGGUCAGCAGCGCGUGCCUGGCCACACGUGACGGUGAGACGUUCGGGCACCUCCGGUAACAGCUCCGUCCUCGCCACCCUUUCCUGUGUCCCACCAGAGCAUCAGCCCCGUGGGGCUGCACGACGCCGAGGGCCGUGGAGGGUGCUGCGGCUGGGUGAGUCCGGCUGCUCCCUUGUCCCUGUUGCGUGCAGGGCUGGGCAGGGAGAACGGGGUGGGCCAAGCCCCCGGCCCCCUCCCAGGAGGGCUGCAGCCCUGAGCCCAGCAGCGUGGGGACAGCCCCGGCUGGGUUGGGGCAGGGGUGGCCCUGCGAGAGGAGAGACCUCACUCCCGCUGCCUGGGGCAGGGCUGCAGCACAGUGCGAGGCGAGAGCCGGGGCUGGCCCCCAGCCCCUUGGCCCUGGGAGGCUGCUGGGGGCUGGCCCGUCCCCGGCCAGGCUUUGGCACUGACGAGUUUCUGGGUUCCCCUGAACUCAGCCGGGGCUUGCUGUUGGGAGCACGUCCCCCUGCCCUGGCCUCCCUCCCUGGCAGUGCGAUGGGGGGCAGCAGGAUGGAGCCUGGCACGUGCCCAGCCCUUCCGCAGGCACCUGCACACCCUCGACAGGAGUGUUUAACCUCUCCCUGCCACGGACAGGGUGAGACUUCUGCCCCCAUCCUGCAGGGACGAUGUUCCCGGGGUGCCCAGGUGCACUGCGUGCCGAGGGGUGCACAGCCAGGCUGUCGCUGCUGGCAGGUGGUGGCUUGUCCCCUGGUGGCUUGUCCCCUUCCUUGUUACCCCCAGGGACGAGUGUGCUGGCAAAGGCCGGUGUGA